Molecule: long non-coding RNA, 661 nt
Organism: Amphiprion ocellaris (clown anemonefish)
Lineage: Eukaryota; Metazoa; Chordata; Actinopteri; Pomacentridae
Source: Ensembl
CACAGUGGCUCGAUACGUUUGCUUCAUGACCUACAGCGCAUGUGUCGAAGCCUCGGGUAUCAGAGGACCAUCACUAUCUCUGGCUGCUGUUGACCUUGUUUUUGGAGUAAAACACGGUGGAAGCUGAAUUAGUGAGGAUGACUCCUGCUCCUGUCAUCUCUAAGCUCCUCACACAUCUUUACCUGCACAUGAAGAAAAUCACUCCUGUAGAAUGCAGAUGUUCAGAGGGAGAUGAUGCCACAUCUGGUCCAGCUGAUGGAAGGUCUUGAAGUUCUCUGACUGGCCUCGACUGAAGAUGGUCGUCUCACUGGAUUUAAGAUGCACAAUGAGGGACGUCUGCAGAGACUGAGAAAGAGUCUCACCACAUCCUGACAUGAGGAAAAAGACUUUAUUGAAGACUACAAUGAGAAAAACUAUCAGACAGCAGACGGCUGCAUUCAAGUGGGUGCUCUGUGUUUGUGUGCAUCUUUGUCUCGUCCUUGUUUUCUGUGUAAGUGGUCUGUUUCGUCCUGUUGGUUUGUAGUGGGUGUUCUGUGUUUGUCUGUAAAUCUUUGUGUGCAGGAGCUGUUACUGGUGGCGAUGGUGGCAAGGUGGACCCAGCGCUGAUUGGCUGUUCACCAUUUUUAAUCUUGGCGGCUGGCAGUGAUGGAGGAGACUGACA